GAUAGAUUAUUCUGUUAUUAAAACUUUUCUUGAAGAAAAAUAUUUAAGUAUUUGUAAAAUCAUCACAGAACAUAUGAUAUGCUCCCAAUUGUAUAUACCAAUAGAUUAAAUAUGUUGAGAGCGAGUUGAAGGAAAUAUGGUAAAAUGUUUAAGUAGUUUACAGGUGGUGAGAAUCAAGUGAAAUUUCUCUUUUUAUAUUUACCUUUAUUUCCUCAACUGUCCAGAAAGAGUAUGUUAUCUUAACAAGCAGCAAAUGAUUAAUUUUUAAAAGCACUCUGUUGACUGCUGUCCUUCCUUCCUUUCACAUGAAAACGUUUUAAAGAUUGUCUCUCUUACAUCAUUGAAAAUGUUUUCAUCCAAGGAGAGUUACCAGAAUUACCAAAUAGAAAUACAGAAUGCCUCAAUUUUAAUUUCAGAUGCACACAUUUUUUUUUAGUAUAUCUCAUGCAACAUUUAGGACAUACUUACACACACACACACACACACACACACACACACACUUACAUGCAACACACAGCACCAUGCCUGCAGGAAUUUAAGUGAAUAUGUGAAAGAGAAAUUUUACAAACUAAAAACUGAAAAAAAUGAUUUGCUUUAAAAGUUAGCUCCUUUUGGUAUUCAAAUAAUUCUAUUCAUACAACAUCUCAUAACAUUUUCCUGCCCAGGGCAUGUGUACUGAAUGUUCCAAGGCAUGUUUUUAAGAUUAAGGCAAUUUUCAGUAAGAUUCGUUCUCAACUGAGUACAUUUUAUUUAUCCUUUUCAAUGACCUUAUCCAAAGCAGGAUAACAAAAAGCCUCUAGGCACACCUGUGAUUCACUUGAGGUGCCUCUAAUAACUUGAAAAGAACUAAAUUGUUUUUAAGUUGCGUACAGCAAGACUUUGUCUACAGCUGAGAAAUCAUUCAAUCUAUGACACUAUUGCUAUUUAGUUACAGUAAUACCAGUAAGGCAAAUUAAAGCAUUAUUUUUGCAUUUUUUCCUAGCUGUGUUUUUAAGAUUAUCAUAAAAUUUAAGCAGAACUUUAUGCACAAAUGAAAUCCAAACAGCAAUGUUUGAACUUUUCCAGGAAAGACCCAAUACGUACCAAGCUGUUUCCACUUAAAAUCCCUUAAAAUAUCAGUCACAACAGACAGAAAACAAAUAACCAUGAUAAUGUAAUAGCUGGCAUUUACUGAACACUUUCUGCGGGCCAGGCACUAGGCUCAGCACUUUUCAUACAUUAUCUCAUUUAACCCUCAGGGCAACAUUACAAAGUAUAUGUUACUGACAUCCCUACUUUCCAGAAGAAAGCACCAGAAGUCAGAGAGGUAAACUAAUUUUCCAAGGCCAAUGCCUUGGCUAUGAUCAAAAUCAGAUCUUUCUGUAGGGCAGGCAGCUCAAAUUAGUAGAGCUGC
RNAcentral lists this long non-coding RNA (1393 nucleotides) under Callithrix jacchus (white-tufted-ear marmoset). RNAcentral's name for it is "lncRNA (ENSCJAG00000072843.1)". Lineage: Eukaryota; Metazoa; Chordata; Mammalia; Primates; Cebidae. The record is from RNAcentral.